UACGAAGGGGGCUAGCGUUGCUCGGAAUCACUGGGCGUAAAGCGCACGUAGGCGGUUUGUUAAGUCAGGUGUGAAAUCCUGGAGCUCAACUCCAGAACUGCCUUUGAUACUGGCGAUCUUGAGUCCGGGAGAGGUGAGUGGAACUGCGAGUGUAGAGGUGAAAUUCGUAGAUAUUCGCAAGAACACCAGUGGCGAAGGCGGCUCACUGGGCCGGUACUGACGCUGAGGUGCGAAAGCGUGGGGAGCAAACAGG
This 253-nucleotide ribosomal RNA is filed under the name uncultured bacterium. RNAcentral describes it as "partial 16S ribosomal RNA". It matches the Rfam family "Bacterial small subunit ribosomal RNA", at positions 524 to 776 of the family's 1533-position model. The record is from RNAcentral.